CAAGACCAUAAUACGUGCGAGAUUUAUCAAAUUCUGAUGUAAGAAUUACAGGCUUUCCUUACUGGUUCAUCUGAGCUUCUGGCAAAGUGGAACGGCCUGACUCCAACAUCCUGUGAGGCGACAGCCUCAUCAUACAGCUCAACUCAUCGACCACAAUAGAGGGAGCAGAGCCAAAACAAUGAGCUCUGCCUUUAGCUGGCUUCCGGAAAGCCUCUGGAGAGGUGGCCAAUCACAAAAACUAGGGCUGGGAAGGUAUGCUUUUCUCUUCGAUUCUUCCACAAUUUUUUUGAAUGCCAAUUUGAUUUAAAUUGCGAUUCCACAAUAUUGUCGAUUUUAAGUCUGCAUUUUUAACACCAGGGAAACAGUUGAAUGAUUAUGAUUGUCUACUGACUAUUUCAGGAAGCAUAUUCCCCCACAAAAUACACAUCAUAUGUAAGUCAGUUUUUUAAAAAGUGUAAAAAGUUUUUUGAACAAUAAAAAUAAAUUUGAAAAUUGUAAGACAAAAAAUUGCAAUACCUAUAUGAUUAAUUUUUUUCUCCCACCCCUGACAAAAAUGCGGGCUUGUGAUUGACCUUGAAAUAACCUAUCAAGAUGUGAACCUUGAUAGGUUAUUUCAAACCUAUCAAGGUUUACACUUGGUUUCAAAUAAUAUUCUCUCCAAAUAUACCGUAUUUAUGUAUACCUCUUACUGAGAUUAAAAGAAGGCUUGGCCUGGUGAAUCAAUGCGUACUACAACUUAAAAAGUCUGGGGGAACCUUGCAUCAGGAUUGAAGGCCAUAUUGCAACUCCAGCCCAAGAAUUUAAAUAGGCUAUCUCAGUAAUGUGGCCUCCUCAACUUAAAAAAAGAAGAGAAAAUGCCUUCACUGCUCUUCAGAUUUGGAUUGCAUUUUUAUCUUCAUCUCAGUGCAGUGACACUUCAUAACAUGAGAGGCAAUUUAGGUAAUGGCAAGCAGUCUACUUAAUAAACUUUAAGACGUACAUGAGGGUUGGUAAGAAUGUCUCUGCUGAUGUGCUGCAGCUCAGAAGAGAACUGCAGAAAAACUGGUACGCUCAGCGAGUGGAGGUGCAUGCCUAUAAUCAGGUCUUUUUUCAUUUCCAAGAAAUGAAUCAUUUUAAUUUGAAGAAAUCAUCCUAAACACAGCUGCAAACAUAAUGAAGAGGCAAUCACCAACGUGGUUUCCCAUCCCUUAGGGUUGUUUGAUGUUCUCUGAUUAAAGGAAACGGGGGAGUGGGGGGGUGAAGAAAAUUAACAGCCAUGACUCCGUUUGUACUUAAAACCAACAUUUAUUGUUAUGCUGAUAAAAUUUUAGAACAAAAACCUUUUGUGCACUGUUUUGAAAAGAUUUGACACAGUAAAAAUUAGAAGACCCAGAGUGGUCCAAUUCAAAGACUCAAAGCUCAUGUGUCAUGCAGGUGUAAAUAAAACCUCAAUUUAAUUAUGGUACUUAAUUUGAAUAAUUCACUUACUGAAAAAAUAAUAAUAAUGAAUGCUUUCUCUCUUGCGAAUCAGCACCUCCAAGUCUGAG
Xyrichtys novacula (pearly razorfish) is the source of this 1526-nucleotide non-coding RNA. The record is from the annotation of a GenBank genome assembly. Lineage: Eukaryota; Metazoa; Chordata; Actinopteri; Labriformes; Labridae.